UUUUUUAUUCUAUAGAAGCAAGCUAAAAUAAAAAUCUUCGACUUGGGCUAGAAAAAGCAAUUGCCAACAUACAUCAUUUCAUUUGACGUAGUCAGUGAACCAAUCCAACAUAUUUCCAUGGGCUUCUUCAGCAUGUUUGACUGCAUUCUCAUCUUCCAUUUUAUACCUGACUGUCCACCCAUGUGCCGCGCCAGGAAAUAUCUUGACAUAGCCAUUGAUCUGUUGAAUAUUAGCAUCAAUGAGUUAAUGAUACAAAUUAGGGAAGUGCUAGCAUCAAACACAGGUCAAUUGAUUGCUAGCAUCGUUGGUGAAGCAACUGACGCAUCGGAACUAUUGAUUCUUGUGGGUCCAACUGUCAACUGUUCAGAUGCUUAGCAUUCCUCUACAAAUUAUCUUAAUUAAAGAACCAAGAAUAAACAGAAUAUAAUCCAUAAGUCUAUCACUCGCAAAAUGUUUUUUAUGAUUGUUAAUAAGACAAUUGCUGACUAUAAGCAAGGAUUGUUUUCUAUUUUGAAAAAGACCAGCAGAAAGACAAGAUCUCCAAAGUUCAAUAACUUCUUACCUCAGGCCUGGUGGAUAGAACCUCUUCGAACUGUUUGACGAGUGCAGGAGGAGAUAUUUUGUCAAUCUCAGCUCCCAACACAGCAAUUGGCACCUUGACCUCUGAAAACGACAAGUUCAUAGCAACAUAUUAAAUCUAAAUUGAUUUGGCAGUGCUACACAGAGCUCUCAAUGGGAAACUGCAAAUAGAAAUCAGUUGACAGUUUUAGGAAGUAACUGAAGCAGCAUCUGGCCAAUAAUUUAUCCUUUUUAUCAAAAUUCGAAAUAAAUAUUUAUAUUGAGAUGUUUUCUCCACCUUGCAGGUAUGAUCCUAUAUUCAUCUGGACUGAGCACAGCCCUCACCAUAAAUACUGCAGGCACAGAGAAUUUUUGGCAAAAGGAUAGAAAACAGUUAAAACAAAAGUUACCUUUUAUAUCAUCUACAGUGACAAGGGAAGGAUGUAAAAGCACUGCAGCUUGAAUGUAAUCAGACUUUGCCAGCUCCACAACAACCUUGGCACCCCAGCAGAAACCAGCUGCUCCAAUUGCUGAUAUGCCUUUGCUUUUUAAAGCCAUAAUAACUGGUUUUACAUCUUCAAAUCCUUUAUCCUAAAAAUAAACAAUGAUAUCUAAGUUUUAGCAAGAAAACUAUGUUUGAGCAGACUGUUGCAUGAAUAUGACUUCCUGCUGCACAAAGGUGAAUUAAAAUGUUGGUUUUAACAUGGCAAAAGAAUGAAUCUACUUUUCUCUAGAUUUAUUUAAAGCAUGUUAAGUAAAAAAUUUAAUGGCACUUCUAAGCAUAUUUCUUAUAAUUUAGCAUACAGUCAGAAACAAACCGUUCCAUGCAACCUUAUCCAGACAGGUAUUGGCCUCUCAACAUUUUCAGGUACAUAUGGGUCUCCAUUGAAGAAGUCGGGCACCACCACAUAGAAUCCAGCAGCAGCAACUUUGUCAGCAAGCUUCCUUAACAACAACAAUGGAUUGACCCAUAUCAGCUAAGACCUAUCAAGUAUCAACUAUUAACACUCAAAUAAUUAUUUUUUUUUCCCUUCUCCCUAUAGUUUGGCAAAUUCAUCAUCCAUCAAAGUGGAAACAUGAAGAGACUUGUUUUAUUUAAAUGUUCAACAAGAGAUGACAGGUACUUCAUAACCAGCAUCUGUAGUUCUCCAACAUCAAUCAUCAAUACUUUGUCAAUGAACAUCACAAUGUAAAAGACUAUUUGGCUUAAUAUUAGAUCAUAAAGAGAACCUUAAAGUUAGGGGUUUUCAUGGUUCAGUUUGGUGGUUCAAGGUAGAUUUUUCAAAUAAAACCAGUAAAUUAGUUUGUGAAUAAUCAUAAACAUAACCAAACUAAACAAGGUUAAAAAUUAUCCAAACUAAACCAUUUAGGUUCGGUUUGGAUAAUUGGUUUGGUUAGUUUAUAUCAUAAAGUAAAUUAGUAAAAUAAAAAUGUUUUUAAAAAUGGACAUUUAAAUAAUAUAAUAUUAAAAUAUAAUAAUAUGAGCAUAUAUGUUAAUCAUAUGAAUGGAGAACCAAAUUAGGUGAAUUUUCAUUUUAUGUAGUGUAGAUCAUGUAGAGAAAAACAAACUAACACAACAAAGAUAUUUACAUAAUUAUUUAUAUGUAUUCUUGAUUCAGUUCGGUUUCAAUUGGUUUUUCAUAUGAAAAAAAACCAAAACUAAAUAAAAAGUCAGUUUGAUUAUAUUUUAAAAUCAAACCAAAUCAUAUAAGCGUCAAAAAACAUGGAUUUGGUUUGGAUUGGAUUGAAUUGAUUCAGUUGGAUUUGGUUAAAAUUUUGCAGCCCCAAAGGCUAAAAUAAUGUUUAUUGGCAACAGACCAGGGUGGAAAUAAUGCACACAAGAUGAAAUUUUAAUUAGCUCACUAUUGAACAGUAAUAAACUAUUUCGCG
Molecule: unclassified non-coding RNA, 2448 nt
Filed under: Hevea brasiliensis (rubber tree)
Lineage: Eukaryota; Viridiplantae; Streptophyta; Magnoliopsida; Malpighiales; Euphorbiaceae
Source: RNAcentral